RNAcentral lists this ribosomal RNA (497 nucleotides) under uncultured bacterium. RNAcentral's name for it is "partial 16S ribosomal RNA". It matches the Rfam family "Bacterial small subunit ribosomal RNA", at positions 28 to 507 of the family's 1533-position model. The record is from RNAcentral.
GAUGAACGCUGGCGGCGUGCCUAAUACAUGCAAGUCGAACGAACAGACGAUGCGCUUGCUCCUCUGACGUUACCGACGGACGGGUGAGUAACACGUGGAUAACCUACCUAUUAGACUUGGGUAACUUCGGCAAACCGGAGUUAAUGCUGGAUACUAUAUUGAACCUCAUGGUUGAAUAGUGAAUGACGUUUUUGCUGUCCCUUAUAGCUGUAUCCUCGCGGCAGUAGCUAGUUGGUAACGUAACGGCUUACCAAGGCAACGAUGCGUAGCCGACCUGAGAGGGUGGUCGGCCACUAUGGAACUGAGACACGGUACUGACUCCUACGGGAGGCAGAGGUACGGAAGGUUCCGCGAUGGGCGAAAGCCUGACGGAGCAACGCCGCGUGAGUGAUGAAGGUCUUCGGAUCGUAAAACUCUGUUAUUAGGGAAGAACAAAUGUGUAAGUAACUAUGCACGUCUUGACGGUACCUAAUCAGAAAGCCACGGCUAACUACGUG